GGAUGUGAGGGUGAUCUGGCUGUGACAUCUGUCACCCCAUUGAUUGCCAGGGUUGAUUUGGUUGACCUGGCUGGCUAGGCGGGUGUCCCUUUCCUCCCUCACCGCUCCAUGUGAGUCCCUCCCAAAGCUGCACGCUCAAAGAGAAUGACCAUCUCCAGUAGAGGAGGACUAGCCUUUGGUCAAGGGCAUACAAGUAGCUGCGCUCCCCUGCUAGAAUCUGCAAACUUAAUGGUACACCCAUGCACACAUGCUUAAAUUCAAACAGUCAAGGCCUACAUCUCCCACUUAAAUGGAAGCUCAGUGAGGGCAGGAGCUUCUUGUGUCCGAAGUGUUUUUGCACGU
Unclassified non-coding RNA from Rhinopithecus bieti (black snub-nosed monkey), 342 nucleotides. Its record names the gene 7SK. It matches the Rfam family "7SK RNA". From Rfam's summary of the family: 7SK was discovered as an abundant small nuclear RNA in the mid-70s but a possible function has only recently been suggested. Two independent studies have found that 7SK RNA binds the CDK9/cyclin T complex (known as elongation factor P-TEFb). NCBI's taxonomy places the organism in Eukaryota, Metazoa, Chordata, Mammalia, Primates, Cercopithecidae. The record is from Ensembl.